UAACCUGCUAAAUAGACCAGCCGGCUUUGGCUGGCUGCUGUCUUCUUAGAGGGACUAUCAGCGUUUAGCUGAUGGAAGUUUGAGGCAAUAACAGGUCUGUGAUGCCCUUAGAUGUUCUGGGCCGCACGCGCGCUACACUGACAGAGCCAGCGAGUCUACCACCUUGGCCGGAAGGCCUGGGUAAUCUUGUGAAACUCUGUCGUGAUGGGGAUAGAACAUUGCAAUUAUUGUUCUUCAACGAGGAAUACCUAGUAAGCGUGAGUCAUCAGCUCGCGUUGAUUACGUCCCUGCCCUUUGUACACACCGCCCGUCGCU
Molecule: ribosomal RNA, 315 nt
Filed under: uncultured fungus
Lineage: Eukaryota; Fungi
Description: SSU rRNA
Rfam family: Eukaryotic small subunit ribosomal RNA
Source: RNAcentral